Oncorhynchus tshawytscha (Chinook salmon) is the source of this 2129-nucleotide long non-coding RNA. RefSeq lists it as uncharacterized. Lineage: Eukaryota; Metazoa; Chordata; Actinopteri; Salmoniformes; Salmonidae. The record is from RefSeq and is a predicted model, not a curated record. The transcript is spliced from 5 exons.
UUGACCAAAUUCGACACUCAUGACCUCCAUACAAAAACUCAUUGCUUGGUUGGCGAAACAACGAAAAAACGCCACCUGCUGGAGGGAGACAGAUUUUCCACCGAGGGGACCAAAGACAUUCACGAUGCCACUCGAGUUGUGUCAAGGGAAGAGUGGAAUACUUUUAAAGAAAUGAAUAGAUUGAUUAAAUAUUGUUCUUGAAAUAUUUUAUUCACAAUAGUCCUAUAGUAAUCGAUGGCUUUCAUAAUGGCGACCGGUCUUAUUCAUAUGACCCAAGAUGUGAACACAAUAGGUGGUUGAUGGCUUCAAGGAUCCACCUACACCCAAAUACCCGAGACAGAUGGGCAGACCGGAAACCGAGUGACAACACUCAGGUCUGUAGCUGCGUGGGAAAGAGAAAUGGCCCUGUAUUUACCAGAAAAGGUAGCUCAUCCACCAUGGCAGAAGAGGAAGAUCCAGAUGGUUGAUUGGGAAACAAGAACAAACAAUGAGGCAUGAGGAUUGGUUGUUGAGGGACUGCUUGUCACAUUGUCCAAGUCCAACAGGAGUGCAUCUCUCAGACCAUCUGGGGCAUGGACAUCCUGUACCAGUCUGAUCCGAGCAGGAGUAUCCAUUUGUACAGCACAUCGAGCCUGUGGACGGACAGACAUGAGGUGUGACAUGUGGAACAUCAGGCACACCCCACGACAAGGAGUGCAUGAUCAACACCACUCUCAGCAAGGAGAUCUGCUGGAAGGGAUGUGCUCUCUCACUCUCACUCAUAAUUUUAACAUCACAAAUAUAAAUUCCCACUGAGCCCAUGAUAAAAUGCAAUGUGAAUUGUGUCGUACUUCUGAAUGAAACUGUGAGGAGAUGCACACAGACCAGCCUUUGUGAUUGAACUUAUGUUAACCUCAUUACUUUAGUUGGCUGCUUUGAGCAAAACUUAAAUGUAAUAUAGCCUAUUCUAGGAGCCUAUUGUUUGUGUAUGAUAUUUAUUCACUGUUCACUUGUUUUUCAACAAUAUCAAGUACGGGCAGGGAUGACUGGGGCCUUCAGCAAGUACUGGCAGGAGGAGCAAUAUGGGUGAGGUCGUCGUGCUGGAUGGUGAUGGAGGCUUUGGUGGUCCACACAACAAAGAAGCAGGUGUUCCUUCCUGUGAUGUGGAGCUGACCUUUGACCUGGUGCCAGUGAGGGAGGUCUUCCCUCCUUGAUUUAAAAAUCCUCAGACUUCACUGCCUCUUCAAUGGUAAGGUCCCUUGCACCAUAGGGACACUUGAUCUACACCACUGCUGUGGUACACCAGUAGGCGCCCAAGAGCCCCCGACCAAAGCCCUGACUCCUGCACAUCCAUCCCUGUAGCCAUUUUGAAUGCCUUGAUGCCCUCCUCUUCAUUAUCGGGUUAUCAUAGUUGGGGUUGUUGCGCUAUCCAACUGUUGCCUGCCGUAUAGCCUCCUGCUGCUACACUGACAGCGCCAUGCCAGCCAGGAUGCCUGCAUGCCCUUGUUUUUUAAACAUUUUUAAACAAUGUCCGGUACAGACAGGGAUCACAGGGAGGAUAGCGGUUGUUCUGGCUCAGGUUCAAGGAGACAUGCUAUUCCACUGAACCUGCCACGAAGAUGGUUCCUUAGCCAUUGAAGAUCCUCCUCUGUGGGCUCUUGGGACAGAGGGUUGUAGUCUUCGACUGGGUACAGGUCCUCCACUGACUGUACCUGGUUGGGCACGGCUGUCUUCCUCCACUCGCAUUCCACGUCCGUACGGCCGUUAUUGUGAACCGCCAAAAUUGGCUGCAUCGCUACACUUACGAGCUCCACGGAGGCGUUUGCAUGUGGUAGAGAGAGUGCCCUGGUCACUUAUAGAGACCUGCCAAGAUGAAGGAUGUUAAGUGCCACACGCCUUUCAAUACAUGACUUUAAACACCUUGAAAUGCAUUCGUUGUAAGAAAUGUGAUAUAUAAAUAGUUUGAUUUGAUUAAUGACAUUACAGCUGUACAAUAUUUAAUAAACUGUAAUUGCAGUGCAGGUUUUCCAUAAACCUUUAAUUGAUAACUUGGGAUUUUAUCAUUUGACAUCAAUCAUAUAGUGGGAAGGAUCCUAUAAAUCUAGACUGUAUGAACACAUGUACCACUUCGAAUAAAUAAAUACUGUGCU